GACGAACCGUGCAGACGUUGUUCGGAAUCACUGGGCUUAAAGGGCGCGUAGGCGGGCCAGCCAGUCUGUGGUGAAAGCCUCCAGCUUAACUGGAGAAGUGCCGUGGAUACUGCUGGCCUCGAGGAGGAUAGGGGCAUCUGGAACGGUCGGUGGAGCGGUGAAAUGCGUUGAUAUCGACCGGAACUCCGGUGGCGAAGGCGAGGUGCUGGGUCCUUUCUGACGCUGAUGCGCGAAAGCCAGGGGAGCAAACGGG
Molecule: ribosomal RNA, 253 nt
Filed under: uncultured bacterium
Lineage: Bacteria
Description: partial 16S ribosomal RNA
Rfam family: Bacterial small subunit ribosomal RNA
Source: RNAcentral